This 1190-nucleotide long non-coding RNA is filed under the name Marmota monax (woodchuck). The stretch from base 1001 to 1068 matches the Rfam family "tRNA". The record is from RNAcentral. Lineage: Eukaryota; Metazoa; Chordata; Mammalia; Rodentia; Sciuridae.
UUAUUAACAGAUGUGGGGGAGGCUGGUCCCUCAGGUCUCAGGUCAGUCAGUCCCUGCUGCUCACACACACAGGCAUAACCUCUGUUUGGAGCAUCAGCAGUGAUGACUGAUAGUCACAUGCUUCACCUUAUUGCCCCAUCUCCAGGUGCACAGAACUGUGGUGAAAAGCCACUCAGGACUCAGCCCCACGGGGUGAACAGAGGGUCACUGCCAUGCACUUCUCCAAGACCCCAGCUUUGUCUCCAUCCAUGAGGGAAUGGGCCGUCUGCUGGCAAUCCUAAGUGUAAAUAUAUUUUCUCCUGUUCCUCACAGUUGCUUUUCAAGAUCAUCAAAGGUCUUGGGCAGCAGAUCUAUGCAGUGGGUAGGAGGAGUGGAGAUUGUGUUCAGGAAGCAAGUGACUCACUUGGCUCAUUUAAGUGAUGCAGAUGGGUAUCCUGGAGAGGACAGGAAGCACCCCCAAGAUCCAGGGUUCCCUGGGAAAGCAGACCCACUGCAGGGCACCCAAGGCACUGCGAAAGCUGUUCCUUCAAAGCAACAAUCCCUGAAGACUGUCCCUUGCAGCCACUGUCACAUUACAGAACUCUGGGCUGUUUGAACAAAGAUCAAACCUACUUUAAUAGAGAUUAUGGUUUCAUCAGGAUACAAGUAAGAUGGAUUUAGGAUCUUGUAAAAACAAAAACAAAAACAAAAACUAACUCUUCUCAUGGAAGUGAGAAAUUCCCAGCAGCAAGGAAAUCCUUCAGAGUGAAGACGCUCUUCAAACACACAAAAGCAUCCGUGGUAACCCUUGUGACAGCCUUGUCUAGUCAGUCCUUUGAAUACAGUCAUCUGCCUUUUCACUCUGGGGUUGCAUCUUAAGACCCCCAGUGAUUCUGGAAACUGAGGAUUGGACUGAACCCUAUAUGUGCCUAUAGUUUUCUUUUUUUCCCUAACAUAUGUACCCAUGGGAAAAGUUCAAUUUAAAAAAUAUACACAGUAAAGAAAUUAAUGACAUGGGGCUGGGAUUGUGGCUCAGCGGUAGAGCGCUCGCCUAGCACGGGUGGGACCUGGGUUCAAUCCUCAGCACCACAUAAAAAUAAAGGCAUUGUGUUGUGUCCAUCUACACCUAAAAAAUAAAAAAAAAAAAAAGAAAUUAAUGACAAUCACUAAUAAUAAAACAGAAUAAUUAUAAAAGUUAUGUAAGUAUGCUC